Non-coding RNA from Paramuricea clavata, 979 nucleotides. The record is from the annotation of a GenBank genome assembly. Lineage: Eukaryota; Metazoa; Cnidaria; Anthozoa; Malacalcyonacea; Plexauridae.
UUCAUAAUUUGUCCACAAAAUAUUUACAAAAUAUUUUUAUUAACAUAAAUAGAAUCGAAUAACUGCGCUAUAUAGGGACCUUUGGAAAUCCUGCAAUUGGAAUUAUAAGCCUCUAAUUAUAAAUUUUAAAAGCUAAUCUACAGAAGGGCAAUUUGCAAUCAAAAACAGAACCUAUUUACAUAGUAUAUAAUUAUAGUUCAUAUAGUCUUUUAGCCUACAUAUUAGUCAUACUUGCGCUACAUAUUAGCUAUAUUUGCGCUACCUCGGAUUGUAACGUGAUAAUCACCUAAAGCAUUUUUUAUUAAAAAAGGGCGGCAACCUGUUUUGUCGAAGUCGGUAUUUUUUUUAAGGUGGGUCGAUACAGUUUUCAAAAAUUCAGGUGUUCAACACUUCGACAUGUUGAAACUACGCAUUUUUAGGAUUUAUUCAACAGAUUUUGAAGUCUUUAUAUAUUUUGAUAACUCUACUUUCAAAUUAUAUUAAUUUUAGUAGCAGAUUGUUUGUUGCUAUGACGACAUACGUGUACGAAAUUCAGAAUUUUUUUAUUUUUUGUAUAAUGAAAGUUUUUAGUGGUGCAAUACAGCAUGCAAAAUUUGAACAUAGGGUCACCAGACAAAAUAAAGAGAUAUAGCACAUUGUUUUUCAAAUGGAAAAUUCUAAUGACGUCAGCAAUUGACAUAAAACGCUAUAGAACACGCGCAAUGGCGUGAUAUGGCGAGAGCAAUUGCUCACGUCAGGUCAUUUUGGAAGUUCUUUCAUUUUGCUAAUCAGUUUCCGCGACCUGCGCGUAAAAAUGGUCACCCGGUUUUGAGUUCGCGAUUCUUGAGCAGAGUUCUUGUGAUAACUAUAUCGAGCCACCUUAAGUGUGAAAAAUGUGUAUGUUUUACUUUUUUCAAAAAACCACCAAUGAAUUUAUACUAAAAUAAUUAUUUGUUGAAGGCGAGGUGAAUUUCGGUGAAUAAUGUAAUAGCCUAGCUGG